GGAGAUUCACGCUGGUUAAGAGAUUUUACCGUUUUUGAUUGACCAUUUAAUUGGGACAGAAUCAAAUAUUAAUUGGGAGCCUUAAAAAUAGGCACUAUUUUAGGCUACAAAAUCAGAUUGAUUUGGUUGGGAGCCUUAAAAACAGGCGCCAUUUUAGGCUACAAAAUCAGAUUGAUUUCGUUUGGUAUAUUUUUGGUAACGAAAACAUG
This 209-nucleotide long non-coding RNA is filed under the name Nicotiana benthamiana. RNAcentral describes it as "long non-coding RNA (NBEN_LNC026301)". The record is from RNAcentral. Lineage: Eukaryota; Viridiplantae; Streptophyta; Magnoliopsida; Solanales; Solanaceae.